UUCCUGCUGGAGAUCUCUGUCUGAGACCUACACUACCUGAGGCCUUCCAAAGCAGGUCACCAGGAUAGUCCGGAGCACUUGCCCUGAGAGUUGAGGCAGAGAAAAUGGAGCUUGUUCAGCCUGGAGAACAGAAGGCUUGGCAUAGGAGGGACAUCAAAUAUCAGCCUUCCAGUACUUACAGGGAGGUAAUAAGGAAGAUGGAAGCAAACUUUUGAUGAUUAUGCACAAUAUAAGGACAAGAGACAACGGGCAUAAUGUGAAACUUCAGACUGGAUAGAGGGAAACACUUUUUCACCAUGAGGGCUGUCAGGCAGUGAAUCAGAUUGCCCAAAGGUUGUGCAGUUGGAGUUCACAAAGCCUUCACAGAUGGCCCUGCUAGAUUGGACUGGGUAGUAGGCUGGACUGGGUGACUCACUAAGUAUUUCUAUACCCCUAUGGUCAACUUAGAAACCACCCAGAAUCUGCAAAACUGAUAAGAAGCAAUUAUUUUCAGUAUGAGUACUGAUCUAAAUAUGGCUAUUAACACUAUGCAGAUAGGUAAUUUCCUUGGCACAAAAACUUUCACUAUAUAAUUAACUUCAUAGAUUUGUGCCUCAAUCCAUACUAAACAAAUUAUAUGCAGUGAUUUCUCCAUGUGCAUCCAGCAACAGUAUGGCAAGAACUAUAAAAAAUAAUAAUUUCUGUGAAUUUAAUUUAACAAAAUACUGUUGUUUCAGUGCACCCAGAAUGAUCCACAAUUUUUAAUUAUAUUUGGUAAGAGAAAGAAAAUUGAUUUGUAUUUACAGGCAUUCUGGGGAAAACAAAAUGUGCUAUUCAGUUCAGCAGCUAGUGCUUAGUGACUGAAUAGCAAGGUCGGACUUCUUUCUGGUUUGUUUGUUUGCUUUUCUCUUGGUUCUUUUUUGAAAGGAUUUGAAUGUCUAUGUAUGUCUCUAAAAUGCGUUUUUAUCCCAGAUCUUAUGGGAUAUGGAGUGCGCGGUGAUAGGGAGAAGGCAGUAUUUUCGAUCUAUUGUACUGACUUGCAAGUCAAGGUAAAUACAGGUUAAUAAAUGAAAAGGAAAAAGAGAAAAGAAAACAAAUGAUGCAAAGGCAAUCACUCACCAUCUCCCACCAGCUUACCGAUGGCCAGUCAGACUCUGAUCAAUGGCUAUUUUGGCAAAACUCCACCUCUGCACACCACCCUGUUUUCAUGCUGAGCAUGAUGCUAUAUGGUGUGGAAUAUCUCUUCAGUCACUUUGGGUGAGCUCUACUAGCUGCACAUCUUCCCAGUCUCUUGCCUGCUCCCAAGCUACUCAUUAGGAUGGGAGAGUGAGAAACAGAAAAAGCCUUGACACUGUGUAAGCACUGGUGAGAAGCGGCUAAACUACUGGUGCAUUAUCAGCAUCGUUUUGGUCACAAAUCCAUAAUGCAGCACCAUACAGGGCACUAUGAAGAAAACUAACUCCAUCUCAGUCAGAUCCAGUACAGUGAAAAUAGAGCACAACCCCUUUAAAACUUUGGUAUCUUAAGAAAUGCUGAUAAUUAUCAGGAGAAAGACAAGUACUAGGGAUCAUUUGGACUAGAUCCUUCAACCACAUAGCUCAAACAAUCAGUUCUUGAAGAGGCCAACCUUCCUGGUCAGCUAUUUUAGUUAAAAAAAAAAAAAAUUCUGGAAACACUAUGUAAAAUAUUUGCAGUAACAAAUGAAGUGAAACACAGUAUCAUACACAAUCUGUGCUUAACAGAGAAUGCCUUAAUGCAGGAGGAAACUAUGGAUUUUGUGUAAAUAAGUAUCAGCCCUUGGUGAAUGCUCACUGGGUAAUUAGUUGUACAACAGCAAGAUAACAUUCAAAAAUGGAUACUAUCUUGUGAAGUGUUAAUAACUUGCUAUCAAAUAGUAAAAAGAAACUUGAUAUGAGCCAAGUAAUUAUUUGUUCUUUGAAGAACUAUGUAAUUCUGAACUGUAAAUAUAUUUUUUUUCUGGUGAUAUUUCUGUCAUUCCUUUUGGGAUGACAAUGGUAGAUGUACAGUGUCUCCCACAGCUGACACUCCCUAUAUUCACAAAUGGUAGAAUUCUGGGACAGGUUU
RNAcentral lists this long non-coding RNA (2064 nucleotides) under Gallus gallus (chicken). RNAcentral's name for it is "lncRNA (ENSGALG00010000995.1)". The record is from RNAcentral. Lineage: Eukaryota; Metazoa; Chordata; Aves; Galliformes; Phasianidae.